This 106-nucleotide small RNA is filed under the name Marmota monax (woodchuck). The record is from RNAcentral. Lineage: Eukaryota; Metazoa; Chordata; Mammalia; Rodentia; Sciuridae.
GCUGGGUGCAGUGGUGCACACCUGUAAUCCCAGCUACUCAGAAGGCUGAGGCAAAAGGAUCACAGUUCAAGGCAAGCCCUGACAACUUAGUGAGAUCCUGUCUCAA